GACGAACGCUGGCGGCAUGCUUAACACAUGCAAGUCGAACGGGAACUCCCGGCUUUGUGGGGGUCGGGUGGUUACGACCUGGGAAGUAACACUUGGGUUACCUGCCCUUGACUGUGGGAUGACUUCAUGAAGCUGGAUCUAAUAGCGGCUAGGAGCUCUUGCUUUUUGGUGGGGGUGGGAUGGUUUCGGCGGUUGGUGAUGGACUGGCGGCUUAUCAGCUUGUUGGUUGGGUAGUGUAUUAGCAAGGCUUUGACCAGUAGCCGGCCUGAGAGGGUGAGAGGCCAAAUUGGGAUUGAGAUAAGGCACGGACUACUACGCGAGGCAGCAGUGCAGAAUAGUGCACAAUGGGCGGAAGCCUGAUGCAGCACCGCAGCGUGCGGGAUGACGGCCAUCGGGUUGUAAUCCGCUUUCGCCUGUCACGAAGCGUGAGUGACGGUAAUGGGUAAAGAAGCACCGGCUAACUACGUG
Molecule: ribosomal RNA, 468 nt
Filed under: uncultured bacterium
Lineage: Bacteria
Description: partial 16S ribosomal RNA
Rfam family: Bacterial small subunit ribosomal RNA
Source: RNAcentral